GACAGAGGGUGCAAACGUUGUUCGGAAUUACUGGGCGUAAAGCGAGUGUAGGCGGGACGGCACGUCGGUCGCUGAAAGCCCCCGGCUCAACCGGGGAACGGGCGCCGAUACGACCGCCCUGGAGGAACGUAGGGGGACCUGGAACUUCCGGUGGAGCGGUGAAAUGCGUUGAGAUCGGAAGGAACGCCCGUGGCGAAAGCGAGGUCCUGGACGUCUGCUGACGCUGAGACGCGAAAGCCAGGGAGGCGAACGGG
Molecule: ribosomal RNA, 254 nt
Filed under: uncultured bacterium
Lineage: Bacteria
Description: partial 16S ribosomal RNA
Rfam family: Bacterial small subunit ribosomal RNA
Source: RNAcentral